AGACUGCUGGGAGAGCGUUCGGUUCGCAUCCGAAAGGUCGAGGGUUCGACUCCCUUCGAGUCCA
Molecule: transfer RNA, 64 nt
Filed under: Faecalibacterium prausnitzii
Lineage: Bacteria; Bacillati; Bacillota; Clostridia; Eubacteriales; Oscillospiraceae
Description: tRNA-Ala
Rfam family: tRNA
About the family: Transfer RNA (tRNA) molecules are approximately 80 nucleotides in length.
Source: RNAcentral